GUGUGUUGACUUCUGGCUCUUUGUAGGACAGGAUUGUGUGCAAUGUAGCUCUCCUGCUGGUGCUCUUACACCUUGCCAGGCAACUGUAAAGGAGGGAAAUUUUAUAUGGUGGGAACUGCACUCCUUUUCUGUCUGAGGAUAUCUAUCUGUUCCAGAACUAAUACUUGCUACAACCAGAGAAUGAAAUGGUCUGAAUAGAGCGUUAAAUAACUUGGCUUUGACAGCUCCAUCAUUUCCUCAGAACUUGGAACAGAAUUUGAGCUCUACUUCUACAGUAUCUUAUAAUGCCAUCCUUGCCUAAUGAGGGAGAUAACCAUGGAACUGCUCCUGUGACUUUGCGAUCAGAACUACCCUAUCAAAGCCCAAUUAAAAGAAAGGUCAGAAAGAAGAAGAAUGGAGUCAUCACUGCAAAUGUUGCUGGCACAAAAUAUGAAAUUGUACGCGUGGUAAUACGAGAAAUGGGAUUUGUGAAAACACGUGAUGAAGAUGAAACAGCUAAUCUUAUAUGGAGUGAUUCUGCUGUGCAGCAAGAAAAGAUUGCUGAACUUCGAAACUAUCAGAGAAUCAACCAUUUUCCAGGAAUGGGAGAGAUCUGCAGAAAGGAUUUUCUGGCAAGAAACAUGACUAAAAUGAUCAAGUGUCAGCCUCAGGAGUAUACUUUUAUUCCUCGAACAUGGAUCUUCCCUGCAGAGUACACGCAGUUUCAGAACUAUGUAAAAGAACUGAAGAAGAAGCGUCGACAGAAAACAUUUAUAGUCAAACCAGCUAAUGGUGCAAUGGGGCAUGGGAUCUCAUUAAUAAGAAAUGGAGAAAAGUUACAAGCUCAGGAUCACUUGAUUGUUCAGGAAUAUCUUGACAAACCAUUUCUUAUGGAAGGCUACAAGUUUGAUUUGCGUGUAUAUAUUCUUGUAACCUCUUGCGAUCCAUUAAAAGUGUUUUUAUAUCAUGAUGGACUGGUGAGAAUGGGCACAGAAAAGUACCAUCCCCCCAGUGACUCAAAUUUGAGCCAGUUGUAUAUGCAUCUGACUAACUACUCUGUGAAUAAACAUAAUGAACAUUUUGGACGGGAUGAAACAGAAGACAAAGGAAGUAAACGCUCCAUAAAAUGGUUUACUGAGUUUCUAGAAACAAAUAAUCUUGAUGUCUCCAAAUUCUGGAAUGAUAUUUCAGAGUUAGUAGUGAAGACUCUCAUAGUUGCAGAGCCACAUGUUCUUCAUGCUUACCGCAUGUGCAGGCCAGGGCAAGCACCAGGAAGUGACAGCGUCUGCUUUGAAGUCCUGGGAUUUGAUAUUCUGCUGGACAGAAAACUAAAACCAUGGCUCCUAGAGAUUAAUCGUGCUCCAAGCUUUGGAACUGAUCAAAAAAUAGACUACGAUGUAAAAAAGGGUGUUCUUCUAAAUGCGUUAAAGCUUCUCAACAUACGGACAAGUGAUAAAAGGAGAAACUUAGCCCAACAGAAAGCUGAAGCUCAAAAAAGACUGUAUGGUCAAGGCUCAAUGAAAAAACUGUUGCCAGGUUCCUCAGAUUGGGAAAAGCAGCGCCACACGCUGGAAAGGAGAAAAGAAGAACUGAAGGAAAGACUUGCACAAGUCCGUAAACAGAUUUCCAAAGAAGAGCAUGAAAAUAGGCACAUGGGGAACUACAGGAGAAUUUACCCUCCUGAUGAUAAAACAUUACUUGAAAAGUAUGAGAGUUUGUUAGCCACUGCUUUCCAGACAUUUCUUGCCGGGAGAGCAGCUUCACUUCAGCGGGAAAUGAAUAACCCUUUAACAAGAAUGAAGGAGGAGGACAUUUUGGAUCUUCUGGAGCAAUGUGAAAUAGAUGAUGAAAAACUAAUGGGAAAAUGUACCAGGCAGCGAGGACCUAAGCCCUUGUAUUCUAUGCCAGAAAGUGCACAGCCCUUAAGAAAACUUAAGAACUACAAUACUGAUAGCAGCUGUGACAGUGGUAGCAGUUUGUCAGAGUCGGAAGAAGAAACUGAAAAGGAAGAUCAUAAUGAAAAAAAAGAGAAAAAAGUAUCAUAUGAUCUUGAAGAAAAUAAAUAUAAAUCUUUGGAACGAUCAGGUAGAAUGAACUGGAAACCUUCAAAUAAAAAUAUAAAAUCUCCAUCAUAUUCACCCUCCACAUCAUCUGCAGGUCCAAUAAGGCGUUCUGUAAGCUGCCCUCGUUCAAUAUCGACUAUGCAGUCACAUGAGCAACGUCCCUUCUCGGCCAAAGCAUCACUGCAAAUCCAGCGUGCAUCCUCAGUGAAUAGGUCUCGUUCUUUAAAUUGCAGCCCAUCUUCAUCCAGAGUCUCUCAGACAUCCAGCCUGGGAACUAUGAAUUCUUCAGGGAAUGAGUCUUUGCUGCAACAGAAAACGAAAGAGCAAGAAGUUGCUUUGACAAAAGAGACUCUACUCAUUUUCAAUGACAUGAGAAUGAAGUUCCCAGGCAAAACAGAUGAAGAAUCAGAAUUAAUUAUAGAAGAUAUAAUGGAUAAUUGGAAGCAUCAUAAAACAAAAGUGGCAUCAUAUUGGUUGGUAAAACUGGAUUCUGUAAAGCAACGAAAACUUUUGGAUAUAGUCAAGACAAGCGUUCGUGCAGUCCUCCAGCAUGUCUGGAAGGCUCCAGACAUUGAAAACUUACACCUGUACCGUCUCUUCAACCGUGUAUUUAAUCGCUUACUUUGGAGCCAUGGUCAAGGCCUGUGGAACUGUUUCUGUAAUUCAGGGAGCUCUUGGGAAACCAUAUUCGGUAAAAGUGCAGACGUGGUGACUCCAGAGCAACUCCAGUGUUGCCAACGGAUAGUACAGCUUUGUAAACACUGCCUGCUAGUGGUUUACAAAUAUUCAUCCGGCUCCAGAGGAUCACUGACUGGAAUUAGCCCCAGCUGGGAUGAUACAAGAUCCCUCAAAGUCAGUGAUUCCAGAUUUGCAUUCUUAGAGGUAUCCUAACAUGUAUGAUACUUCUGGCUUCACAUUCGCAGUGGGAUGCUAUAGGGGCACAACUCCAGCCAAGGGUCAGGUGUUUGUUGCCAGGACCUUCACAGUUCAUCACGAAAUCAUCCUCGUCCAACCUUAGCUGCAGUUCAUCUGGAAUGCCUCGCCCUAACAUUUUGUUCACACACAGAUAUAGUCACUUGUGAAGCAAAAGAAAAGUUAAUUUUCUUUGUAAAUAAUGGCACUCCAUUUUUUUUUUCAAAUUAAAAUUUGUCAUGGAGCUAAAUGCAAGCACUGUUAUCAUAAUAUGGUAGUAAAUAUAUAACAUUUAGCUGAAAACCUACUGUAAAAGCAUAGCUUUUCUGGAAGCAUAAUAAACCUUGUUAAGCUGUUUACACACAUUUGAAUGUGUAGAUCUUGCUAGGUUUAUAAGUAAUUCCUACUAGAAAUGUUAUUUUUGCUGCAGAAUAUAGAAAUGAAUUUGAUCUUGAAGAUCCUAUUACAGUGUUACAUUAUUUUGUAUGUACAAUACUUUGACUUGAAUAUUAUUUAUUGUAAAGUAUACUAUUUAUUGUCUCAAAUGUAAUUGAUCCUUUAACUAGACAGAUGAUUUUAAAAAUGUAGUAGAACAGUAAAACUGUAAUAAUUAUUAAAAAUAAUCUGAUAAUUUCUUGGACAUGUUUAAAAUAAUCCCCCAAACUCUGUAAGCCACACCUGAAACAGAUAUAUUUUUUUCAUUUCUCCUCUGAAAUUACGGGUCCUGCUUAGUGCUUUUACUUUUCUUAAAGGACAUGGCAUAGUAUCUUUUAGUCAAAGUGAAGGCAUUCUUUAUGCAAAUAGUAAAAAUACCAGUUCAUGCAUUCAGUUUCUAAUUUGAUUUUUGUAAUAAAGCAGAAGCCAACAUUUGUUAACUAGCUUUCAUUCACAUUACCUAUGGCCUGUGCCUUUAAGUUUCCUUUGGGAGCAAGCAGUCACCUACAACUUGUGCAAGCAUGUAUAGUGGGUAGUUUUUUCUGUUUUACUACACAAGUGGUAAAGCAGACAUUUUUUAGGAAAUACUGCAACUCUAAUUUAUUAUUUCAACCUUAUACUAAUUGGUUUGCUGUAGUUUUUAGCAUACAAUCCAAUACAUACUGUAGAAUGUGUUGUUUAACUAGACAGUAUUUUCUAGACUUGUUGACACCUUUAAAUGUUGGAAAUAUAAUUCAGUAGAAAGCCCUCAUUCAGAUUCAGCUUCCUCAACCUGGCUGAAGGGCACAAAAAAAGAAAGUGAGCCAGAACAGGAACACAAAAUUAACAGGACUUGCAACCUGAAAGCAUCAUUCAAGUUUUCUACAUACACCCUUUCAUUUCAUUCAGCAUUGCACCAUAUAAGCCUUAUUCGUUAUAUAAAUAAUUAUUUAAAAAAUCAGCUAAUCUAGAUUUAAAAUGUUUUAUUUUAUUUUAUUUUAUUUUAUUUUUUUAAACUGAGUAAAGAAGAGAGUAGUAGGUAUUUACCAAAGACUUGUUUACUUUCUAAUAACGUAACCUGGAAACUUGUUUGUAAAUUACCAAUGUAUUUUAGGUAUAUGUUAAAAAAUAAUUUAGGGGAGUUAAUUGACCUCAGGAGAAGUAUAUUAGAGGUUUUUGAUAUACAGAAAUUUAUGAGAAAUUUAAGAGACUUAAGAGAUUUGAGACUGAAGUUGUCUGGAAUUUAAUUUUUUAAAAUCUUAGUCAUAGUAUAUAUAUCAAAUUGGGAAUUCUGGUGAGAUUUUUGAUGCCUGUGCUGUACUGCCUCAGCUCUAGAACUGCAAGAUACAAGAUAGCAAGACUAUUUAUAAACAAUUGAAAAAGACAAAACAACACCAGAAAACAUAGAUUAGCCAGAUAUAAGCAGUCUUCUAGCCUGGUAAAAAUCUUUUUCAUUCUCAUGGUAAUACUGAUUUAGUAAUACAGUAUGUUCACAUUAAUUGUGUAUAUUUCCUUUGAUCCAUAUUGAUAAAGCAUAUUAUGAUUAUCUGUAACACGUAAUAAAAGCUGUAAAUCCUCUCUUC
This is an RNA transcript of Oxyura jamaicensis (ruddy duck), 4951 nucleotides long. It is a transcript of the gene named tubulin tyrosine ligase like 7, with no coding region annotated. The transcript is spliced from 23 exons. The record is from RefSeq and is a predicted model, not a curated record. Lineage: Eukaryota; Metazoa; Chordata; Aves; Anseriformes; Anatidae.